RNAcentral lists this ribosomal RNA (500 nucleotides) under uncultured bacterium. Its description in RNAcentral is "partial 16S ribosomal RNA". It matches the Rfam family "Bacterial small subunit ribosomal RNA", at positions 30 to 523 of the family's 1533-position model. The record is from RNAcentral.
AUUGAACGCUGGCGGCAUGCCUUACACAUGCAAGUCGAACGGCAGCGCGGGCUUCGGCCUGGCGGCGAGUGGCGAACGGGUGAGUAAUACAUCGGAACGUGCCCUAGAGUGGGGGAUAACUAGUCGAAAGAUUAGCUAAUACCGCAUACGAUCUACGGAUGAAAGUGGGGGACCGCAAGGCCUCAUGCCUCUGGAGCGGCCGAUGUCCGAUUAGCGCGUUGGUGGGGGAAAGGCCUACCAAGGCGACGAUCAGUAGCUGGUAUGAGAGGACGACCAGCCACACUGGGACUGAGACACGGCCGAGACUCUUACGGGAGGCAGCAGUGGGGAAUUUUGGACAAUGGGGGAAACCCUGAUCCAGCAAUGCCGCGUGUGUGAAGAAGGCCUUCGGGUUGUAAAGCACUUUUGUCAGGAACGAAACGGUGGGGGCUAAUAUCCUCUGCUAAUGACGGUACCUGAAGAAUAAGCACCGGCUAACUACGUGCCAGCCGCCGCCGUAA